This 448-nucleotide ribosomal RNA is filed under the name uncultured bacterium. RNAcentral's name for it is "bacterial SSU rRNA". It matches the Rfam family "Bacterial small subunit ribosomal RNA", at positions 354 to 796 of the family's 1533-position model. The record is from RNAcentral.
GUGGGGAAUUUUGCGCAAUGGGGGAAACCCUGACGCAGCGACGCCGCGUGGAGGAUGAAGGCCCUUGGGUCGUAAACUCCUGUCAGGUGGGAAGAAAGGCUUCCGGUUCACCCGGGAGAUUUGACUGUACCACCGGAGGAAGCCCCGGCUAACUCCGUGCCAGCAGCCGCGGUAAUACGGAGGGGGCAAGCGUUGUUCGGAAUCAUUGGGCGUAAAGGGCGCGUAGGCGGCCGGCCAAGUCGGGUGUGAAAUCCCUCGGCUCAACCGAGGAACUGCAUUCGAUACUGGUUGGCUAGAGUCCGGGAGGGGAUGGUGGAAUUCCCAGUGUAGCGGUGAAAUGCGUAGAUAUUGGGAAGAACACCGGUGGCGAAGGCGGCCAUCUGGACCGGUACUGACGCUGAGGCGCGAAAGCCAGGGGAGCGAAUGGGAUUAGAAACCCUAGUAGUCC